CGGAGGGGCGGGCGGCGGCGGAGCGGCCCCUGGGGGUGGGGGUGCGCGGCCCUCCCCGCCCCAUUCCCGCUCCGAGAAGGAGUGGGGCGCUCGUUUUGAGCGGGAGGAGGAAAAUGAGUGAUUGCUGAGCCGAUCCCUUGUGUUAUGUAAUCUCUGCUUGGUCUAAUAGUACAUCCUAAGCCUUAGUGCACUGCAGCUAGUUUACGAAGUCUCCUCCCUCGGUCCCCAAAUUUCUUUUGGGAUGGCGCCGUGAUUUAUAAAAUGGAAUGAGGCGGGGAAUCUUUAUUUUCUGGUGAUUAUGUCCUGCCGCGGUGGGCGCCAUGUUUAUCCCG
This 332-nucleotide long non-coding RNA is filed under the name Homo sapiens (human). RNAcentral describes it as "LHRI_LNC701.1". The record is from RNAcentral. Lineage: Eukaryota; Metazoa; Chordata; Mammalia; Primates; Hominidae.